Molecule: ribosomal RNA, 457 nt
Filed under: uncultured bacterium
Lineage: Bacteria
Description: partial 16S ribosomal RNA
Rfam family: Bacterial small subunit ribosomal RNA
Source: RNAcentral
UGGGGAAUAUUGGACAAUGGGGGCAACCCUGAUCCAGCAAUGCCGCGUGUGUGAAGAAGGUCUUCGGAUUGUAAAGCACUUUCGACGGGGACGAUGAUGACGGUACCCGUAGAAGAAGCCCCGGCUAACUUCGUGCCAGCAGCCGCGGUAAUACGAAGGGGGCUAGCGUUGCUCGGAAUGACUGGGCGUAAAGGGCGUGUAGGCGGUUUACACAGUCAGAUGUGAAAUCCCCGGGCUUAACCUGGGAGCUGCAUUUGAUACGUGUCAGACUAGAGUGUGAGAGAGGGUUGUGGAAUUCCCAGUGUAGAGGUGAAAUUCGUAGAUAUUGGGAAGAACACCGGUGGCGAAGGCGGCAACCUGGCUCAUGACUGACGCUGAGGCGCGAAAGCGUGGGGAGCAAACAGGAUUAGAUACCCUGGUAGUCCACGCUGUAAACGAUGUGUGCUAGAUGUUGGGU